This 468-nucleotide ribosomal RNA is filed under the name uncultured bacterium. RNAcentral's name for it is "partial 16S ribosomal RNA". It matches the Rfam family "Bacterial small subunit ribosomal RNA", at positions 28 to 506 of the family's 1533-position model. The record is from RNAcentral.
GACGAACGCUGGCGGCGUGCUUAACACAUGCAAGUCGAACGGAAAGGCCCUGCUUUUGUGGGGUGCUCGAGUGGCGAACGGGUGAGUAACACGUGAGUAACCUGCCCUUGACUUUGGGAUAACUUCAGGAAACUGGGGCUAAUACCGGAUAGGAGCUCCUGCUGCAUGGUGGGGGUUGGAAAGUUUCGGCGGUUGGGGAUGGACUCGCGGCUUAUCAGCUUGUUGGUGGGGUAGUGGCUUACCAAGGCUUUGACGGGUAGCCGGCCUGAGGGGGUGGACGGGCCCAAUUGGAACUAGGUAACGCCCCGGAUCCCUACGGGGGGCAGAGGGGGGAAAUUUUCAAAAAUGGGCGGAGGCCUGAUGCAGAAACGCCGGGUGGGGGAGAACGGCCUUGGGGUUGAAAACCGCUUCCGCCUGUAACAAGGGGUGGGGAAGGGAAAUGGUUAAAGAAGCACCGGCAAACUAGGG